GCCAGGUCGGACCAAUUGGCUAGAGCGUAUGGCUGUUAACCAUAAGGUCGGAGGUUCGAGCUCUCCUUCUAGCG
Oryza barthii is the source of this 74-nucleotide non-coding RNA. Lineage: Eukaryota; Viridiplantae; Streptophyta; Magnoliopsida; Poales; Poaceae. The record is from Rfam.